This is a long non-coding RNA of Capsicum annuum, 6454 nucleotides long. RefSeq lists it as uncharacterized. NCBI's taxonomy places the organism in Eukaryota, Viridiplantae, Streptophyta, Magnoliopsida, Solanales, Solanaceae. The record is from RefSeq and is a predicted model, not a curated record. The transcript is spliced from 4 exons.
GGCUGUAGUAGUCAGAAAUUUUCGACAGAUGUGGUUGGAAAUAUUUUUCUGAUAAACUUUUUUCCGACUACCACUAAACAAUCGGAAUAUGGUCGGAAAUACCUUAUAUUCUGAAUACAUGUGCUGUUGAAAAAUACCAAAUUUCUGGUAGUGGCUUGAUUAUGAUCUCACAUUCUAUGUGGGAUGAGGCGAUGAAGAGAUUGGGCAUGUUGGAGGCCAAAGUUUGGAAUAUAAAAGGGGUAUAAAGCCCUGGAUUGACAAAGUUAGAGAACCAAGAUAGACAGGUAUAGGGUUGGUUAGACGUAUUUGAAUAAUAGAUGACCUGAUAGUUGGGAAGCGGAUAGGUUCCAGAUAUAACAGAAGUGAAAACUGAGGUGGCUGAAAUAAAGAAGAUAGUUGUUGAUUUAUACGAUAGACCGAUCAUCCUAGAACCCAUGGUUACGAAAGUUGUUCCUAAAGUACAAGUUAAAAAUAUCUGGGAAAUUUUGGAACCUGAAGAAGACCCCUGAAAGAAAAGGAAGAAGAUAAAGCACUAAAGUACAGAAAAUGAAGCAGUAAAAAAGGCUAAGCAAGAUAGCCUACUGAGUGAGAUAGACUGGCAGGUAUGGGUCGAAGAGAUGAAAGAUGGAGCUAGUAGCUCGAGACCAACAACUGAUGAUGUUGAUGGAGGUGGUGAUGUAGCCCUUUCGAGUGAUGUACCACUGAGCGCACCUACCAUAAUUAUUGCCACUACUAUGGAGGCAGUCCUGAUAACUGAUGGGACUUCUGUUGAGAAAGGUGGGACCCGAGAUGGGGGCCCACAUGAUUAUGCUAUAUGAGUUGUCUCCUUAAGAACCUAAGUAUGUUCCUGAUCCCUUGUGUUUCAUUUUUAGAUACGCUGGGGAUAGUGCGUAGGCUUUAAGUUGGGGGUGGGGGUGUACUAAGGUUUCCAUGAGCUAUACUUGCCAUGUUUCAAAGUUCAUGGCCAUAAUAUGAAAAAAAUAUGAGAACUGUCAUGUUAUGUUGUGUUUUGUUGUUAUUAGUUUGUAUGGAGGAAACUUUGACUUAUGGCAGUUGAUGUGUUUUUUAUGAGUAUGCUGAAAUUGUGUAAUCUUGAAAAGUUUUGUGUUGAAAUAUUGAUAUCCAUCCUAAAAUUUAGAUGUCUGUGUGAUGUGUAUGUGUGAGAUGACUGAGAAUUUUAUAAUGGCAUUAGAAUUAGGAAUAGAACAACUAGGGAGAACAAUUGCAUAACUGGAUAAGUAGUACUUAGCAGUAUAACCCUGGACGAGUGUGUGUGAGGUACUCCUUAGUUCUCGGUGUGUCUGAAUCAAGAACUCUCCCGAUUGCUCUUACCUAGGGUUCAGGAUAGUCGAGUAGAAAAUGAUCAUAGGCCAUUUUUGGUGUGAGUCCACUCGAGCCUAAAUGCCCAAUCUAAUGUGAUAUGAAUCCCUUUGAUCCAAAAUGUUUGAGCCUUAACUGAUCCAUUUUUUGUUUACACCAAUUUCACCUUCCCGAUUUACUUACAAUGAACCUAUAUUGGCCUUUCUCUUCCUUGGAUACUGCGCAUCUCAACUCUGGGAAAUCACCUAAGUUAAGAGUGGUUGUUAUAGGGGUACGUAGGAAAAAUGAGUAUGAAGAAAGAUGUUUAGAAAAAAUAUGAAAAAGGAUAGGUACGGUAAAAAUAAAAGAAAAAAAUUACAAAGAAAGAAAAGAAAAAAAGAAAGUAAGAAAAGAAAAUCGCACCUAGUCCAGUUUGAAUAUGCUUUAAAAAUAAAAAGGGACACAUAAGGGCAGAAAUAAAAUAAAAAAAAGUGAAAAAUAAUUGGACCCCGAAUAAAGCGUAGUAUCAAGGAGGCAUAGUCACUGAAAAUCUCAAAAAGAAACCAUACCAGUCCCUAACCUACAUUACAAGCAAAAUUAAGUCCUUUAGUGAUCUUGUCUCGACUGUUCGGAAACCCAGGAGAAGAGCAUAUGGGUAAGCCUAUGGUAUUCUGUAUACACUGGUGGUACUUCUUUGUGAGCGAGAGCAUUUUUUUUUUAUAAACCUGAAUAAAUUAAUUGAUCUUAACUGAGUGAAUGGGAUUUAUUUGACUGUGAGCGCACAUAGGUUAUGUUGUUAAGUUUCUAGAUUGUUCGAUUAAUGUGGGUUGUAUCUAUGCCUGGUUGUCUGUUACUAAUAUAAUACCAUCAUCAGAUUCCUUUAUGUUUCUGUGUGUGCCAAACUGAUACACAGUUUGAUUCUUUCAAAGUUAAAAUUAGGAGGCGAAACUAAAAUGUUGAAAAAGUGAAUUAAAAAUCACUGCCCUAGGUGUGUUAGGAUCUUCCUUUUUAAGCAUCGUUAUUGUGUUGGUAGUAUUGAUUUUUAUUUUGCCUGAGGAUACACAAAUGUCUAAGUUGAGGGUGUUGAUGUGCCAUGGAAACAUGACACUUUCGAUGCUUUAAACAAAGAAUUUAUGCUUGAAUUAGGUUGUUUUAGUAGAUAUAAGGGUGUUUUGUUCUUGUUGCAAGUAAAACAGGUAAAUAAGAGGCUUGUAACAAAAGUAGAAGAAAAAAAUGGUAAAAUGAUGAAGUCUGCAGAUGAUACGAGUCACCUUAUGAGUCGUCAACACAUCAUACAAAUCAUAGGUUGACUCAUAAGCACAAUAGAACCAAAAGCCAAGAAGAAAUCUUAAGUAAAGAAAAGAUAUGACUCAGUCAUAUGAGUUGUAAGAUGAUCAUGUGGGUCAGUCAAGAAACUAUAAAGAGAACAGAACCUCAGGCUGUCAUUCAGAGUUUAAGUCACCAAAGAAGAUGAGUCGAAAGACUGAGUAUGACUUGUAUGAUCCAAUCACAAUCAGACCAGUGUUCAGAGCCUUAAAUAAAGAAGUCCCAGUUGGUAACGAGUGAAGGCCUGAGUUGUAUGGUCAAGGCAGGACUGGUGAGUAGGAAUUGUAAGAAGAAUAGAAAGUUGAAGCCCUAAAAGAUCAGACACUAGAUAACAUACAAGAGGCACUGUAUGACUCAUAAAAAGACCUUACGAGUAACGAUCGAGUCGUACGUUGUGCUGACUUACUUUUCCUUUUUUGUUUUCAAUUGGAUUUUUGGGUUGUUUUGAGAUACUAUAAAUACCCUAGGGUUUAUCUUUGAUUAGGUUACGUUCCUUAACAUUAUUCCUAUAUUCUUUUACAUACUUUACAUUAUUCUUGAGAUUUUUGGGUUAUUCAAUUCAAGACUUUGAAUGUUAUCACUACAAGAAAAUGUACAAUUAGCAACAAUUUUUUAGCAACGACAACAUUAUUGUUGGCUUAGAUCGAUAAAGGCAACAACUUAAUUUUAUUGUUGCUACAUCUUGUAAUUUUUAACCACAGUUUUAUAUCGUUGCCAAAAAUUAUAAUUUUGUUGCUAUAUUCUAAAGUUAAUAUAAAAAAAUUUAAAUAUAGACAAAUUACAACAACUUUUUUACAACAAACAUAAUUUUGUUGCCUAAAUUAAAUAAAAGGCAACAACUUGAUUUAAUUGUUGUUAUUUAUGAAAUAUUUGCCAAUACUAUAUUUUUUAUUGCUAAUCCGUUUAAUUAGGCUUAACUUUCAUUAGUUUUUUUUAAUCUUCCACCAAAUAUCAAGUAAAGGCGGCACAUCCCCAAAAAUAUUGGAGACCCCUUAGUUACCUCCAAAAUAACACUACUACAGGUUUUCUUUUUUCCAUUGAAACCCAAGAUCUCAUCUCCAUUGAUUUAUUUAUUGCGGCAUUUACCCAAGCUAUUUCCUUGAUUGCUUUCUCCAAGUUUGGUGAGUUAUUAAUUAUGAUUUAGUUUAUACAUGGUUUGAUGACUUGUUUCUUGAGUUAUUGUAUUCUUUUUAAUUUGUGGAUGCCUUAAGAGUUUUUGAAUUCCUUCUUUUUAGUUUGUAGAUUCUCCGUAAUGAUUUAGCUCAAAAUUUUUGGCUAGAAAAGUGUUAUUUCUUUUUUUGGGUUUUAUGGGUUCUUAAAUCUGGCUAUGGCAAAAUUAAAUUUGAGUUCUUUGUUUGAGAAAUUAUUGUCAAUCUUUACAAUUCACUAUUAUAUUUUGCUUCAAAAACAAUCCUUGAAAACAAAAUAAUUUUUGUUCUAUCGAGAUUCACUGGUAAAUGAAAAAUUGAAGGAAGAACUCUCAACUCUCACAUAGGUCUUUACUAGGGGUGAGUUCAAUUCUUUCAAACUUUCAUUAGGGUCUUCGAUUUUCAAUUUUUCAAUAGUGUGAAUGAAAUUCCAAAUCAAAUUACUUCGAUUCGAUUUCGUCUAAUUUGAUUCUUUGAUAUUUAUAAAGAAUGUCAAUAAUUAGAAGAAAUAAAUAAAUUUCAUGUCUCAAUUCGAAGGAAAAUGUCUACUGUGUUGGUCUUCGGUAGAAUAUAUACUUUGAUGAGAUGAUGAUAAUGUUGAAUUUUCAAUUACUUACAAACUGCUAGUAGAAAAUCUAAGCAGAGAAAGAUACUUCAAGAAAAUAUCGCUAUCUAUUCAUGAUGAUUCCGUAUCACUUAAACAUUAUAGGAGUCAAAAAACUAAGUGUUGUGUCAAGUUACCAGUGCUUGCGUGUAUAUGACUUGGUAACUUGUUUUUAAUGUAAAUUAUUUAAAUUUCAUAUAAUACAAGUAGAAAAUUUGGUCAAGCUAUUGUUGGUCAUUCAGGACAUGUCCCUUCUCUGCCAUAAACAUUUUCUUUACUUGAUGGUGUUGUAUCGAUAUACUAUAGUCAUAUCAAAUUGAAUAGGUGGAAAGCUUUUAGAGAUUAUAAUGUGGAUCAGCUGCUCUUCCUUAUAAUGGAUGGUAACAUUGCAUACAUUAGGGUCCCAAAGUAUCCAAAUCCUCUAAUUUCUAUCAAUACCAUAGUCGUAUUCAACUUUCCAUUUCACAUCCAGUUUUUUGCAUAUAGACGUAGCCUUAUUCUCUUUAACUCUAGUUUUAAUAAUCCAGCUAAAUGGAUAUUAUUUUCCCUCAAAUAAAGAGACAAUUCUCUCUACUUAUGUCUCUUGUUUAUUUCCCUAACAUUCCAUACCAAGCAAUGCAUUAAACAAUUGAGGUUCCCCCACCUUUAUCCGAGAGAUGUAAGGUAAUAAUCUCAUGAGCCCCGAUAAGAAAAGCUUCAAAGCCAUUAGUAGUAUCCUUGAGAGUGUUCGAGGGAGGUUUCUAAGAGAGAACUUUCUUGGAAGGGAUAAGAGAGUCAUCUUCAGAACCUUCCCAAAUAAUAAAUUUCUCUCCAGUAUCUUCAUCUAUGAGCUGCUAAUCCCCAGGAGUGUCCAUAGGGGAUGACUGUAAGUUUCUUUGUUUGUCACCAUCACUCUUUUCCAAUGCACAAUAACAUUAUUAUUAUUAACCUUCCCAAAUGAUCUUUCCAAUUUGAAAUGAGACAGAGCCACAACUGGUGGUCUUGGUGCAUCAAGCAUUGAGAUUUAUCUUAACUUGGGGAAUGCCCCAACUACUAUUUCCUACAAAAAUGUAUGGAAACAAUACGUUGAUGCCCACCACAGUUGUCAUAGGGAUGAAUGUUUUUUCUCUAGAUAAUUGCAACUUGAUAGUUUAUUGAAUCUCUUUGUCCAUAGAAGUUUUAUUUUAAAUCACCUUCUUGAUUUAUACCUUUGAUUAGUCUUUAUUUGUUAAAAUUUUUAAUAUAUUGCAGUCAAUAAUGAUGACAAAUAUGGAUAUUUCUAAUAAUAGUGAAACUACAAAUGUAUCUGCGAUCCCGGCUCUAGAAAAAAAGAGAAAGGGAAGAGGAAAGACAACAGGGCUUUCAACCCAAAAGAAACACAAGGAAAAUGAUAAUGGAAAGUUGAAGGUGAUUAUCCCACUAGAUCGAAUAGUAGCAGUAGGUGCUGAAGCUAAUGUUUUUAUUACCAAGCUCUUAGUGAAAGUUCAUCAUAAUGCUAGAGAUGACAUCAAGAAUUGAAAGGGAGUUCCUGAACUGGCAAAAGAUAGGAUUAUUGCUUAUAUGUUGAGGGACACAAACACUUGAGAAGAGCCAAACUAUCAAAAACUUUGGGAAAUGACUCAUAUGAAGCCAAAUGGACAGUGGGUUACUAAUGCUUCUGCUAAAGAUAAAGUGAAAGAUAUUAUUGCUGAAAAAGUUCAAGAAGUCAAAGAGGACACUGAUAUGGAUCCUAUUAUCAAUGUUGCAUUUGUGCAAGUUGUGGGUGAAAAAUCAAAGUACAUUCUUGGUCAAGGAUCUGGAAUUAAGUCAGCAAGUAGGAUAUCGAGAAAUAAAAUUCAACAGAAACUUAAAGAAUGACAAAAGGAAGUGGAAGAUGAACGUCGUAAAUGAGAGAGUGUACAAAGCAAGCUAAUGGAAGUUAAAAAUCAGCUUAAAGAGAAAGAAGAAAUUGAGAAGUAAUGGAAGUUCGUUUAGUGCAUGAACAAAAAAUGUUAAAAGAGAGUGUAAUGGCACUAGUUUCUCAUAUGCAAAGCUCUAAGAUAUUUGUUUAGUAUACAACGCUAAACUAGUAAAUGUUGCAUUAUUACUUUUAUUUUUA